This 103-nucleotide non-coding RNA is filed under the name Heyndrickxia ginsengihumi. RNAcentral's name for it is "Bacillus ginsengihumi SAM-I sequence". It matches the Rfam family "SAM riboswitch aptamer (S box leader)". From Rfam's summary of the family: The SAM riboswitch is found upstream of a number of genes which code for proteins involved in methionine or cysteine biosynthesis in Gram-positive bacteria. The SAM riboswitch acts at the level of transcription termination control. The record is from Rfam by way of RNAcentral. Lineage: Bacteria; Bacillati; Bacillota; Bacilli; Caryophanales; Bacillaceae.
CUCUUAUCAAGAGAGGCGGAGGGACUGGCCCUGUGAAGCCUCAGCAACCAUAAUCGGUAUGGUGCUAAUUCCAGCAGAGUUUUUUAGCUCUGGAAGAUGAGGG